This 668-nucleotide ribosomal RNA is filed under the name Hypomyces tubariicola. RNAcentral describes it as "LSU rRNA". It matches the Rfam family "Eukaryotic large subunit ribosomal RNA", at positions 82 to 780 of the family's 3401-position model. The record is from RNAcentral. Lineage: Eukaryota; Fungi; Ascomycota; Sordariomycetes; Hypocreales; Hypocreaceae.
AGUAACGGCGAGUGAAGCGGCAACAGCUCAAAUUUGAAAUCUGGCCCCUCGGGCCCGAGUUGUAAUUUGUAGAGGAUGCUUUUGGUGCGGUGCCGCCUGAGUUCCCUGGAACGGGACGCCAUAGAGGGUGAGAGCCCCGUCUGGCUGGCCACCAAGCCUCUGUAAAGCUCCUUCGACGAGUCGAGUAGUUUGGGAAUGCUGCUCUAAAUGGGAGGUAUAUGUCUUCUAAAGCUAAAUAUUGGCCAGAGACCGAUAGCGCACAAGUAGAGUGAUCGAAAGAUGAAAAGCACUUUGAAAAGAGGGUUAAAUAGUACGUGAAAUUGUUGAAAGGGAAGCGCUCAUGACCAGACUUGGGCUUGGCGAAUCAUCCAGCGUUCUCGCUGGUGCACUUUGCCUCGUCCAGGCCAGCAUCAGUUCGUCGCGGGGGAAAAAGGCUUCGGGAACGUGGCUCCUCCGGGAGUGUUAUAGCCCGUUGCAUAAUACCCUGCGGUGGACUGAGGUUCGCGCAUCUGCAAGGAUGCUGGCGUAAUGGUCAUCAGCGACCCGUCUUGAAACACGGACCAAGGAGUCGUCUUCGUAUGCGAGUGUUCGGGUGUCAAACCCCUACGCGUAAUGAAAGUGAACGCAGGUGAGAGCUUCGGCGCAUCAUCGACCGAUCCUGAUGUUCU